GCUGGCGUAGCUUAUCCAAAGCAUAACACUGAAGAUGUUAAGAUGAGCCCUGAAAAGCUCCGCAAGCA
This 68-nucleotide transfer RNA is filed under the name Heteropriacanthus cruentatus (glasseye). Its description in RNAcentral is "tRNA-Phe". Lineage: Eukaryota; Metazoa; Chordata; Actinopteri; Priacanthiformes; Priacanthidae. The record is from RNAcentral. RNAcentral also lists the same sequence under 1 other name.